This 363-nucleotide unclassified non-coding RNA is filed under the name Hevea brasiliensis (rubber tree). Lineage: Eukaryota; Viridiplantae; Streptophyta; Magnoliopsida; Malpighiales; Euphorbiaceae. The record is from RNAcentral.
ACUGCAUUUUGUCGUUGAUUUAGGAAAAACCAUAUCUUGAAUUUUGGCAAAAUAGCCUGAUGAGGCUUGGAAAAAUGUUUUGUACAGGGGAGGGUUCUCGAUUGUGGUGUUGUUUGUUGGUUGCAGUUUGGAAGAAUUGAUGGAAAAUGGGUGAUAGGGGGUUUUACAAUGGCUGGAGGCUGCCUGCAACUUGGAAGUAUUUUCUUUUUGUGUAAAAAGACUGAUCAAAUUUGUAGGUUAGAGGUAGGAAAUGCAGUAAAAAGUUUAGGAGAACGGUAGGGCUUUAGAGGAAGAGGUAAGGUAGAGAUGAAUUACUCUGUACACAUUACAACUCUUAAUACAAGCUUUUUAGCUUCACUCAGC